CGGGCUGAUAAAAUGAAUAUGGGUGUCCAUACCGCCCGCAGUCAGGAUCCGUCCUUCACCUGCAAUCACUUCUGUACCCGCGCCUAUGAUAAGAUUCGGAUCCACUCCAUCCAUCAUAUCCGGAUUGCCGGCUUUGCCGAUGCCGCAAAUCUUCCCGUCCUUAAUUCCGAUGUCCGCCUUUACAAUUCCCCAGUAAUCUACAAUAACUGCGCUUGUGAUCACCGUAUCCGGACAAUCCUGAUCUCUGACUCUGCAGGACUGACCCAUGCCGUCACG
This 276-nucleotide small RNA is filed under the name uncultured Mediterraneibacter sp. Its description in RNAcentral is "5' ureB small RNA". It matches the Rfam family "5' ureB small RNA". Lineage: Bacteria; Bacillati; Bacillota; Clostridia; Lachnospirales; Lachnospiraceae. The record is from RNAcentral.